UUGGAAACUGACAACCACUCCUCCUUGCCC
This 30-nucleotide non-coding RNA is filed under the name Rattus norvegicus (Norway rat). The record is from RNAcentral. Lineage: Eukaryota; Metazoa; Chordata; Mammalia; Rodentia; Muridae.